RNAcentral lists this ribosomal RNA (114 nucleotides) under uncultured bacterium. Its description in RNAcentral is "partial 16S ribosomal RNA". It matches the Rfam family "Bacterial small subunit ribosomal RNA", at positions 1360 to 1482 of the family's 1533-position model. The record is from RNAcentral.
CGGUGAAUACGUUCCCGGGCCUUGUACACACCGCCCGUCAAGCCAUGGAAGUUGGGGGUGCCUGAAGUACGUAACCGCAAGGAGCGUCCUAGGGUAAAACCGAUAACUGGGGCU